GAUUACCGCUUAAAAACACUUGUCUCUAGUUUUUAAUUUUAUUUUUAAAGUUGAUUGUAAACAGUUCAGCUUAUUAGCCAACUGAAGGACGUUUUAUUAAAUUUUUUUUUUUUUCUUUUUUCUGGUUAUACUAUUAGAUACUAAAAUAGAAUUUCUCUAAUCGCGCUUUUUAAGUGAGAUAUCUAAGUAAAGUGAGUGAGUUGUUUUGAAGAGUAGCCACUGGAAUGUUGGAGGAGGAAAGUGCUUAAAGGUCAAAAGUAAAAGAUCCAUUUUACUUGCGACCUUUGACACCGGGUGUAUAAUACGAUCCCGAGUAGAAUAAACUGAAACAUUUUCUAAUAUGACGCGUGAAGGUUGGAGACGGGGAGGGAUAGAGAACAAAAAUAUUCAAAGAGGUCGGAGAUCACAGGGCAACGGAAAGCAACCUAUGGUUUGCUGCCGUUGUAAAAUGAAGUGUCAUUUAUAUCAAUCAGUUCAGUCGCUUCGCAGGACAAGCGAUUCAAAUGUUCCAAGAAGAAAGGCGAAACUCAAAGGGCAACGAUCGCAGGGCAAUCAACAGUUGCUGCUCUUUUCCUCUCUGAAAACGAAGUGCCGCUCGUAUUAAGGAUCACUCUCUUUGUUACCAACGUUUCGCUUGGUAUCUACUUACUCACUUCAUGCAUAUUGAUGAAAUAUAUAUCAAAACUUUUUUUUAACCCUUUUAGUUUACACCAAAAAAAAAAAAAAAAAAAGAGAGAGAUCUGCUUAACGAUAUCCAUUACGCGGUCACAAACGGAUCGAGUAAAGGUUAACAGAAGCCCGGAGCUAAACAUUUCGGAGGCCCCUUUUUCAUAGCGUAAAAUGACUAUUGUCCAGGAAAUCCCUUAAUUAUUAACUCCAGCAUCCACGGGGCCCCUUGUGUCAUCACGUCGAUUACUCAUAGUUUUUCCUUCAAUUCCUUUGCUCGUUUGGAGAUGUAGAGGCAUACCAUCAGUUAAUACAGCAUUAUAGACUCUUAUAUACACGAAAUGACCCUUUUUGGCUGUAUAAUUUGGCGAAAAAAUAAAAAAAUGAAUCAUUAUAAGGCGCCUAUCAAUCUAUAAUUCAUUUCGCAGUUUUAUAACGCGAUAUAAUUUGGGAUGUAUUGCUUGUUUGAAAUUUGCUUGUUUGGAGAUGUAGAGGCGUACCACCAGUUAAUACAGCAUUACAGACUCUUAUAUAUACAAAGUGACCCUUUUUGGCUGUAUAAUUUAGCAAAAAAAUAAAAAAUGAAUCAAUUUCGCAGUUUUAUAACGCGAUAUAAUUUGGGAUGUGUUGCUUGUUUGGAGA
Molecule: long non-coding RNA, 1308 nt
Filed under: Androctonus crassicauda
Lineage: Eukaryota; Metazoa; Arthropoda; Arachnida; Scorpiones; Buthidae
Source: RNAcentral